UUGUUUUAAUUAAAAGGAAGAGGGGAA
RNAcentral lists this non-coding RNA (27 nucleotides) under Cricetulus griseus (Chinese hamster). The record is from RNAcentral. Lineage: Eukaryota; Metazoa; Chordata; Mammalia; Rodentia; Cricetidae.